GGGGCUGAUUUUUGGAUUUGACGUAAUAUUCAAAAUCUAAAGUGCAUGUCGAGGGACGGUAGGCCUCGUUAAUAAACCGUAACCAAAUAGUCGCAAACGACAAAAACUACGCUUUAGCAGCUUAAUAAGCUUCAGAGCCCUUUCUACCUGUUUUGCUCUUGAAAUAGUGAAUUAAAGAAAGGUCAAUAUUAAAAAGAGAUAGCACUUAUGUCACUGUACCUAAAAGUGCUCAGUGUGAAAAUUUAAAUUUGGGUUAGUUUCAUAGAAGCGUGUCUAGCAGCAUCUAUGAAAUGAAUUGAAAUGUUAGACUAAGCAUGUAGUGCUUAAGAUGUAGAAUUUUCGGACGCGGGUUCAAAUCCCGCCAGCUCCACCA
Molecule: transfer-messenger RNA, 373 nt
Filed under: Enterobacteriaceae (enterobacteria)
Lineage: Bacteria; Pseudomonadati; Pseudomonadota; Gammaproteobacteria; Enterobacterales
Also listed under: 1 other name
Description: SoEE sp002933335 Standard tmRNA
Rfam family: transfer-messenger RNA
About the family: Bacterial tmRNA, also known as 10Sa RNA or SsrA, is named for its dual tRNA and mRNA-like properties. Its role is to liberate the mRNA from a stalled ribosome. To accomplish this part of the tmRNA is used as a reading frame that ends in a translation stop signal.
Source: RNAcentral